RNAcentral lists this ribosomal RNA (375 nucleotides) under uncultured bacterium. RNAcentral's name for it is "bacterial SSU rRNA". It matches the Rfam family "Bacterial small subunit ribosomal RNA", at positions 524 to 898 of the family's 1533-position model. The record is from RNAcentral.
UACAGAGGGUGCAAGCGUUAAUCGGAGUUACUGGGCGUAAAGGGCGCGUAGGUGGUUAUGUAAGUGAGACGUGAAAGCCCCGGGCUUAACCUGGGAAUGUCGUCUUAAACUGCAUAGCUUGAGUACUGUAGAGGGUAGUGGAAUUUCCGGUGUAGCGGUGAAAUGCGUAGAGAUCGGAAGGAACACCAGUGGCGAAGGCGGCUACCUGGACAGAUACUGACACUGAGGCGCGAAAGCGUGGGGAGCAAACAGGAUUAGAUACCCUGGUAGUCCACGCUGUAAACGAUGAGAACUAGAUGUUGGCCAGCUUGACUGGUUAGUAUCGAAGCUAACGCGAUAAGUUCUCCGCCUGGGGAGUACGGCCGCAAGGUUAAA